Molecule: ribosomal RNA, 425 nt
Filed under: uncultured bacterium
Lineage: Bacteria
Description: partial 16S ribosomal RNA
Rfam family: Bacterial small subunit ribosomal RNA
Source: RNAcentral
GUGGGGAAUAUUGGACAAUGGGCGCAAGCCUGAUCUAGCCAUGCCGCGUGAGCGAUGAAGGCCUUAGGGUUGUAAAGCUCUUUCGUGGGGGAAGAUAAUGACUGUACCCCAAGAAGAAGCCCCGGCUAACUCCGUGCCAGCAGCCGCGGUAAUACGGAGGGGGCUAGCGUUGUUCGGAAUUACUGGGCGUAAAGCGCACGUAGGCGGACUGGAAAGUCAGGGGUGAAAUCCCGGGGCUCAACCCCGGAACUGCCUUUGAAACUCCCAGUCUUGAGUUCGAGAGAGGUGAGUGGAAUUCCGAGUGUAGAGGUGAAAUUCGUAGAUAUUCGGAGGAACACCAGUGGCGAAGGCGGCUCACUGGCUCGAUACUGACGCUGAGGUGCGAAAGCGUGGGGAGCAAACAGGAUUAGAAACCCGGGUAGUCC